GCACGAGAUCCGUCUACAUCACCCUCUCCUACAAGACGCGGACUGCAGGGAUGGGGCGGGGACAUCACGCACACCCUGGGACGACCAGAUCGAGCACGACCGCAGCGGAAGAGCCACCUCUGCCUCGUCGUGCAGGAGAUGCCGCCUCUCUGUCAUCAUGGAUUGAAGGAAGCGGCAGUGAUGGUUGUUCCAGGUGGUCGGCAUGCCAUGGUUGUUCCGGAUGCGGUGAUGUUUGAUUUUAAGUAGUGCUCACCUAUUUUCUGUUUUUGUUCAGAUUAGUAUUUGAAUCAUCGACAAACCAGUCAAUUGCUUGUUCUUUGGAUCCUAUAAUGGCACACAUUAUGCAUAACUUAACUGGCUCUGUAUCGGAUGUUUGAUCUGAACUACUUACACACGAACAUUGCAGGCCGAAGGUCAAUAUUAUGACUAAACAGGCACGUGGACUCGGUCGUGAAGUUUAUGCGGUAUCACCAUGUAAUGCACAUCUUCUGCAUGCCGCUGGUCAUGAUGGUGCUUGCCAAGCAUUGGACGACCAUGAAGUACAACCUCAGCUCUCUCAUGUUCAUCAGCUCCAUUGGGAUGCCGGUCCGCUGAUGUGAAGAACUACCUUGGUGCCAAGAUGUUUCAGGGCACUCUUGGUGGGCAGCAUCUACAACGUCCUCUUAUCCUCGCUUGCUGAAUAUGGGACUGGUCCUCUAGCCUGAUAGUCACCAGUCCAGCACAACAAUUCCUCCCCUCCUCAUCGAAGCAUGGAAUAAGACAAAUCUUGAUUCAUGUAUAGAGUGACCGGCUCCUCUAGCCUGACAGUGUAGCCAAUUGCCGGUUAGCUGAGUAUCUGGUUAUUUGAGUAGAACAUCUAUGUUUCUCCUCUUUAUGUAGACCCGUUUAAUUUGAUAUUACUCACAGAAAAAUGUAAAAUCAUUGCCUACAUUUCCGAAAUUCAUCUCAUUUCGUGGUUUA
Triticum urartu is the source of this 960-nucleotide non-coding RNA. Lineage: Eukaryota; Viridiplantae; Streptophyta; Magnoliopsida; Poales; Poaceae. The record is from RefSeq and is a predicted model, not a curated record.